This 468-nucleotide ribosomal RNA is filed under the name uncultured bacterium. RNAcentral describes it as "partial 16S ribosomal RNA". It matches the Rfam family "Bacterial small subunit ribosomal RNA", at positions 28 to 523 of the family's 1533-position model. The record is from RNAcentral.
GAUGAACGCUGGCGGCGUGCCUAACACAUGCAAGUCGAGCGAUUUACUUCGGUAAAGAGCGGCGGACGGGUGAGUAACGCGUGGGUAACCUGCCCUGUACACACGGAUAACAUACCGAAAGGUAUGCUAAUACGGGAUAAUAUGCUUUAGUCGCAUGGCUAAAGUAUCAAAGCUCCGGCGGUACAGGAUGGACCCGCGUCUGAUUAGCUAGUUGGGAAGGUAACGGCUUACCAAGGCGACGAUCAGUAGCCGACCUGAGAGAGUGAUCGGCCACAUUGGAACUGAGACACGGUCCAAACUCCUACGGGAGGCAGCAGUGGGGAAUAUUGCACAAUGGGCGAAAGCCUGAUGCAGCAACGCCGCGUGAGCGAUGAAGGCCUUCGGGUCGUAAAGCUCUGUCUUCAAGGAAGAUAAUGACGGUACUUGAGGAGGAAGCCCCGGCUAACUACGUGCCAGCCGCCGCCGUAA